GCCAUGGUGGUUCUGUGAUAGAAUUCUCACCUUCCAUGAGAGAGACCCAGGUUAGAUUCCUGGCCAGUGCA
This 71-nucleotide transfer RNA is filed under the name Loxodonta africana (African savanna elephant). It matches the Rfam family "tRNA". From Rfam's summary of the family: Transfer RNA (tRNA) molecules are approximately 80 nucleotides in length. The record is from Rfam by way of RNAcentral. Lineage: Eukaryota; Metazoa; Chordata; Mammalia; Proboscidea; Elephantidae.